GUUCCUGUGGCGCAGAGAAUAGCGCGUUGGACUUCUAUCCAAAGGUCGUGGGUUCGAUUCCCAUCAGGGAUA
This 72-nucleotide transfer RNA is filed under the name Bombyx mori (domestic silkworm). It matches the Rfam family "tRNA". Rfam says of the family: Transfer RNA (tRNA) molecules are approximately 80 nucleotides in length. Their secondary structure includes four short double-helical elements and three loops (D, anti-codon, and T loops). Further hydrogen bonds mediate the characteristic L-shaped molecular structure. tRNAs have two regions of fundamental functional importance: the anti-codon, which is responsible for specific mRNA codon recognition, and the 3' end, to which the tRNAs corresponding amino acid is attached (by aminoacyl-tRNA synthetases). tRNAs cope with the degeneracy of the genetic code in two manners: having more than one tRNA (with a specific anti-codon) for a particular amino acid; and 'wobble' base-pairing, i.e. permitting non-standard base-pairing at the 3rd anti-codon position. The record is from Rfam by way of RNAcentral. Lineage: Eukaryota; Metazoa; Arthropoda; Insecta; Lepidoptera; Bombycidae.